AUCCAACUGACGAGUCCAAAAUAGGACGAAACACGCGUCCUGAAG
RNAcentral lists this non-coding RNA (45 nucleotides) under Schistosoma curassoni. Lineage: Eukaryota; Metazoa; Platyhelminthes; Trematoda; Strigeidida; Schistosomatidae. The record is from RNAcentral.